UGGGGAAUUUUGCACAAUGGGGGGAACCUUGAUGCAGCGACGCCGCGUGAGGGAUGGAGGCCUUCGGGUUGUGAACCUCUUUCGCUCGUGUGCAAGCCGCUAUUUGGGUAGUGGUGAGUGUAGCGGGUAAAGAAGCGCCGGCUAACUACGUGCCAGCAGCCGCGGUAAUACGUAGGGCGCGAGCGUUGUCCGGAUUUAUUGGGCGUAAAGGGCUUGUAGGUGGUUUGUCGCGCCUGUCGUGUAAUCCUCUGGCUUAACUGGGGGUGUGCGGUGGGUACGGGCAGGCUUGAGUGCGGUAGGGGAGAUUGGAAUUCCUGGUGUAGCGGUGGAAUGCGCAGAUAUCAGGAGGAACACCGGUGGCGAAGGCGGGUCUCUGGGCCGUUACUGACGCUGAGGAGCGAAAGCGUGGGGAGCGAACAGG
This 421-nucleotide ribosomal RNA is filed under the name Fusobacteriota bacterium. RNAcentral describes it as "Fusobacteria bacterium partial 16S ribosomal RNA". It matches the Rfam family "Bacterial small subunit ribosomal RNA", at positions 355 to 776 of the family's 1533-position model. Lineage: Bacteria; Fusobacteriati; Fusobacteriota. The record is from RNAcentral.